Molecule: unclassified non-coding RNA, 378 nt
Filed under: plant metagenome
Description: partial contains 5.8S ribosomal RNA, internal transcribed spacer 2, and large subunit ribosomal RNA
Rfam family: 5.8S ribosomal RNA (bases 1-105)
Source: RNAcentral
GAAAUGCGAUAAGUAAUGUGAAUUGCAGAAUUCAGUGAAUCAUCGAAUCUUUGAACGCACCUUGCGCUCCUUGGUAUUCCUUGGAGCAUGCCUGUUUGAGUAUCAUGAAAUCUUCAACGUAAAUCUUUUGUUAACUCAAUUGGUUUCUACUUUGGUAUUGGAGGUCUUUGCAGCUUCACACCUGCUCCUCUUUGUUCAUUAGCUGGAUCUCAGUGUUAUGCUUGGUUCCACUCGGCGUGAUAAGUUAUCUAUCGCUGAGGACACUGUAAAAGGUGGCCAAGGUAAAUGCAGAUGAACCGCUUCUAAUAGUCCAUUGACUUGGACAAUACUUUUAUGAUCUGAUCUCAAAUCAGGUAGGACUACCCGCUGAACUUAAGC